This 497-nucleotide ribosomal RNA is filed under the name uncultured bacterium. Its description in RNAcentral is "partial 16S ribosomal RNA". It matches the Rfam family "Bacterial small subunit ribosomal RNA", at positions 28 to 507 of the family's 1533-position model. The record is from RNAcentral.
GAUGAACGCUGGCGGCGUGCCUAAUACGUGCAAGUCGAGCGAACAGACGAGGAGCUUGCUCCUCUGACGUUAGCGGCGGACGGGUGAGUAACACGUGGAUAACCUACCUAUAAGACUGGGAUAACUUCGGGAAACCGGAGCUAAUACCGGAUAAUAUAUUGAACCGCAUGGUUCAAUAGUGAAAGACGGUUUUGCUGUCACUUAUAGAUGGAUCCGCGCCGCAUUAGCUAGUUGGUAAGGUAACGGCUUACCAAGGCAACGAUGCGUAGCCGACCUGAGAGGGUGAUCGACCACACUGGAACUGAGACACGGUCCAGACUCCUGCGGUGGGCAGCAGUAGGGAAUCUUCCGCAAUGGACGAAAGCCUGACGGAGCAACGCCGCGUGAGUGAUGAAGGUCUUCGGAUCGUAGAACUCUGUUAUUAGGGAAGAACAAAUGUGUAAGUAACUAUGCACGUCUUGACGGUACCUGGUCAGAAAGCCACGGCUAACUACGUG